Molecule: ribosomal RNA, 286 nt
Filed under: uncultured Eubacteriales bacterium
Lineage: Bacteria; Bacillati; Bacillota; Clostridia; Eubacteriales
Description: uncultured Clostridiales bacterium partial 16S ribosomal RNA
Rfam family: Bacterial small subunit ribosomal RNA (bases 48-286)
Source: RNAcentral
CACUUUAUUUGAUUUCCUUCGGGUGGAUUUAGAAGUGACUGAGUGGCGGACGGGUGAGUAACGCGUGGGUAACCUGCCUUGUACUGGGGGACAACAGUUGGAAACGACUGCUAAUACCGCAUAAGACCACAGCACCGCAUGGUGCGGGGGUAAAAACUCCGGUGGUAUGAGAUGGACCCGCGUCUGAUUAGCUAGUUGGUAAGGUAACGGCUUACCAAGGCGACGAUCAGUAGCCGGACUGAGAGGUUGAACGGCCACAUUGGGACUGAGAUACGGCCCAGACUCC